CUCCCACCCGUGUUGCCCGAACCUAUGUUGCCUCGGCGGGCCCCGCGCCCGCCGACGGCCCCCCUGAACGCUGUCUGAAGUUGCAGUCUGAGACCUAUAACGAAAUUAGUUAAAACUUUCAACAACGGAUCUCUUGGUUCCGGCAUCGAUGAAGAACGCAGCGAAAUGCGAUAACUAAUGUGAAUUGCAGAAUUCAGUGAAUCAUCGAGUCUUUGAACGCACAUUGCGCCCUCUGGUAUUCCGGAGGGCAUGCCUGUCCGAGCGUCAUUGCUGCCCUCAAGCCCGGCUUGUGUGUUGGGCCCCGUCCCCCCCGCCGGGGGGACGGGCCCGAAAGGCAGCGGCGGCACCGCGUCCGGUCCUCGAGCGUAUGGGGCUUCGUCACCCGCUCUAGUAGGCCCGGCCGGCGCCAGCCGACCCCCAACCUUUAAUUAUCUCAGGUUGACCUCGGAUCAGGUAGGGAUACCCGCUGAACUUAAGCAUA
This 481-nucleotide ribosomal RNA is filed under the name Penicillium sp. Nitaf12. RNAcentral describes it as "eukaryotic LSU rRNA". The stretch from base 114 to 267 matches the Rfam family "5.8S ribosomal RNA". RNAcentral also lists the same sequence under 1 other name. Lineage: Eukaryota; Fungi; Ascomycota; Eurotiomycetes; Eurotiales; Aspergillaceae. The record is from RNAcentral.